UGAACAGGAGCUUGCUCCUGGGAUUAGUGGCGAACGGGUGAGUAACACGUGAGUAACCUGCCCUUGACUCUGGGAUAAGCGUUGGAAACGACGUCUAAUACCGGAUAUGAGCUGCGGCCGCAUGGUCUGCAGUUGGAAAGAAUUUUGGUCAAGGAUGGACUCGCGGCCUAUCAGGUAGUUGGUGAGGUAAUGGCUCACCAAGCCUACGACGGGUAGCCGGCCUGAGAGGGUGACCGGCCACACUGGGACUGAGACACGGCCCAGACUCCUACGGGAGGCAGCAGUGGGGAAUAUUGCACAAUGGGCGAAAGCCUGAUGCAGCAACGCCGCGUGAGGGACGACGGCCUUCGGGUUGUAAACCUCUUUUAGUUGGGAAGAAGGGAGCUUGCUCUUGACGGUACCAGCAGAAAAAGCACCGGCUAACUACGUGCCAGCAGCCGCGGUAAUACGUAGGGUGCAAGCGUUGUCCGGAAUUAUUGGGCGUAAAGAGCUCGUAGGCGGUUUGUCGCGUCUGCUGUGAAAUCUGGGGGCUCAACCCCCAGCCUGCAGUGGGUACGGGCAGACUAGAGUGCGGUAGGGGAGAUUGGAAUUCCUGGUGUAGCGGUGGAAUGCGCAGAUAUCAGGAGGAACACCGAUGGCGAAGGCAGAUCUCUGGGCCGUUACUGACGCUGAGGAGCGAAAGCAUGGGGAGCGAACAGGAUUAGAUACCCUGGUAGUCCAUGCCGUAAACGUUGGGAACUAGAUGUAGGGGCCAUUCCACGGUUUCUGUGUCGCAGCUAACGCAUUAAGUUCCCCGCCUGGGGAGUACGGCCGCAAGGCUAAAACUCAAAGGAAUUGACGGGGGGCCCGCACAAGCGGCGGAGCAUGCGGAUUAAUUCGAUGCAACGCGAAGAACCUUACCAAGGCUUGACAUAUACCGGAA
RNAcentral lists this ribosomal RNA (922 nucleotides) under Frondihabitans australicus. RNAcentral's name for it is "bacterial SSU rRNA". It matches the Rfam family "Bacterial small subunit ribosomal RNA", at positions 70 to 996 of the family's 1533-position model. Lineage: Bacteria; Bacillati; Actinomycetota; Actinomycetes; Micrococcales; Microbacteriaceae. The record is from RNAcentral.